GACGAACGCUGGCGGCGUGCUUAACACAUGCCAGUCGAACGGAAAGGCCCCUUUGGGGGUACUCGAGUGGCGAACGGGUGAGUAACACGUGAGUAACCUGCCCUUGACUUCGGGAUAACUUCAGGAAACUGGGGCUAAUACCGGAUAGGAAUCCUUGCUGCAUGGUGGGGGUUGGAAAGCUUCGGCGGUUUUGGAGGGACUCGCGGCUUAUCAGCUUGUUGGUGGGGUAGUGGCUUACCAAGGCUUUGACGGGUAGCCGGCCGGAGAGGGCGAACGGCCACAUUGGGACUGAGAUACGGCCCAGACUCCUACGGGAGGCAGCAGUGGGGAAUAUUGCACAAUGGGCGGGAGCCUGAUGCAGCCACGCCCCGUGCGGGAUGACGGCCUUCGGGUUGUAAACCGCUUUCAGCAGGGGCGAAGCUUGUGGUGACGGUACCUGCAGAAGAAGCACCGGCUAACUACGUG
RNAcentral lists this ribosomal RNA (465 nucleotides) under uncultured bacterium. Its description in RNAcentral is "partial 16S ribosomal RNA". It matches the Rfam family "Bacterial small subunit ribosomal RNA", at positions 28 to 507 of the family's 1533-position model. The record is from RNAcentral.